UUUGACCUCAAAUCAGGUAGGAUUACCCG
RNAcentral lists this ribosomal RNA (29 nucleotides) under Suzukiozyma palmioleophila. RNAcentral describes it as "[Candida] palmioleophila partial 28S ribosomal RNA". Lineage: Eukaryota; Fungi; Ascomycota; Pichiomycetes; Serinales; Debaryomycetaceae. The record is from RNAcentral.